CCCUGGGUGGCGCUAAUGGUUAAGUACUCAGCUACUAACUGAAAGGUUGGUGGUUCGAAUCUACCCACAGGUA
RNAcentral lists this transfer RNA (73 nucleotides) under Loxodonta africana (African savanna elephant). It matches the Rfam family "tRNA". From Rfam's summary of the family: Transfer RNA (tRNA) molecules are approximately 80 nucleotides in length. Their secondary structure includes four short double-helical elements and three loops (D, anti-codon, and T loops). The record is from Rfam by way of RNAcentral. Lineage: Eukaryota; Metazoa; Chordata; Mammalia; Proboscidea; Elephantidae.